This 253-nucleotide ribosomal RNA is filed under the name uncultured bacterium. RNAcentral describes it as "partial 16S ribosomal RNA". It matches the Rfam family "Bacterial small subunit ribosomal RNA", at positions 524 to 776 of the family's 1533-position model. The record is from RNAcentral.
UACGUAGGGUGCGAGCGUUGUCCGGAAUUACUGGGCGUAAAGGGCUCGUAGGUGGCCAACUAAGUCAGACGUGAAAUCCCUCAGCUUAACUGGGGAACUGCGUCUGAUACUGGAUGGCUUGAAUCCGGGAGAGGGAUGCGGAAUUCCAGGUGUAGCGGUGAAAUGCGUAGAUAUCUGGAGGAACACCGGUGGCGAAGGCGGCAUCCUGGACCGGCAUUGACGCUGAGGCGCGAAAGCCAGGGGAGCAAACGGG